Non-coding RNA from Chiloscyllium plagiosum (whitespotted bambooshark), 2090 nucleotides. NCBI's taxonomy places the organism in Eukaryota, Metazoa, Chordata, Chondrichthyes, Orectolobiformes, Hemiscylliidae. The record is from RefSeq and is a predicted model, not a curated record.
GUCAUCGACGAGUGCGGGCGUUUUGUUGGUUGAUCACGUGCUCACGCUGCUGUGAGAGAUUGAGAGAGAGCGAGCGGUGGCAAGUAGAGAAUGAUGAGUGACGAAUGGACUGAGAGCGGGCAAGAUGACCAGUCAGCUUUGGUGCCGAAAGAUGCAACACAGCACCAAGAAUCAGCACGAGCUUCCUUUGCUUCCUCUGUGUUUAACAUAAUGCAUGCUAUCAUGGGAAGUGGUAUUCUGGGUUUGGCAUAUGCAAUGUCAAGUACAGGUAUUAUUGGCUUCAGUCUCUUAUUGCUGUUUGUUGCUGUUACGGCUGCAUAUUCAGUUCAUUUGCUGCUCGUGUUGUGCGAACAAACUGCACUGACUACUUAUGAAGACCUUGGGUUUUGUGCCUUUAAGAUAACUGGAAAGGUUAUGGUUGCUGGUGCAAUACUGAUCCAAAACAUUGGAGCUAUGUCAUCUUAUCUGUUUGUCAUAAAGUCUGAACUACCUGCUGCAAUUGCUGGUUUCCUACACAACAGCUAUAAUGGGACUCCCUGGUACCUUAAUGGACAGAUUCUCCUGCUCAUUACUGUUAUCUUUGUUGUUCUACCUCUUGCUCUUCUUCCUAAAAUAGAAUUUCUUGGUUAUACAAGUGGUUUGUCCAUCUUAUUCAUGGUCUACUUUACCAUUGUGGUUGUGGUUAAAAAAUGGUUCGUUCCUUGCCCGCUGUCUAAUGGCACUGUCAAUUACUUUCAGAACUUUAGUUCUGAAUGUAAACCAAAGCUUCUACAAAUUUCAUCCAAGAGUGCAUACGCAAUUCCAACAAUGGCAUUUUCAUUUCUCUGCCAUACAUCAGUGUUGCCAAUUUACUGUGAACUCAAAAGGCCUUCAAAGAGCAGGAUGCAAAAAGCGGUUAACAUAGGAAUGACUCUGAGUUUUUUGAUCUACAUGCUUUCUGCCUUGUUCGGCUACCUGACGUUUUAUGCCAAUGUGAACUCACAGUUGCUGCACAGUUACAGCCAGUAUCUGCCACGGGACCCCGUCAUUAUGUCAGUUAGAAUAUGUAUACUCUUCUCUGUGCUUCUGACAGUGCCUCUAAUCCACUUUCCAGCAAGGAAAUCUUUUAUGCUGCUAUUUUGUUCAAGCUGCCCCUUCUCAUGGUUGUGUCAUAUACUUGUCACACUUGUUAUUCAGACAGUGAUUGUGUUAUUGGCAAUCUAUGUGCCAAAUAUUCAAAAUAUCUUUGGUGUAGUUGGUUCUACAACUUCAACUGCUUUACUAUUUAUCUACCCUGGACUCUUUUACUUGCAAAUAAGCAGAGAAUCUUUAAAAUCUUCAAGGAAGCUUAAGAUUUUGUGAAUGAGAACGAAAAUAAAACACCAAAGGCUACUGAGUAAAAUGAAAGACAUUUCCAUUGCCCAGUGAUUGCUGCUGAUAGAGAAUUUCUCAGUUUGGUUUAUGUCCAAGGCACAAAAACUACAACAAUAGGAAAGGAGCUGCACUAGGACCACGUGGGGGCACGGGUCCGGCCCGUCCUGCACAUUGUGAUCCAGUUGGCCCGCUCCGCGCUUACCAGGCCCAACUCCAACUCCAACCCCAGGAACUUCAGGAGCCACCCCUCCAGGAACCUGACGAGGUCCUCGCCUUCCUCCCUUUCUGGGAGACCCACGAUAUGGAAUGUGAUCAGAUCCUUGGGAAAAACCCUGGUGAGGCAGCAGUGCUCAUGACCAACGGAAUACCAGCUCUUAUGAAAAAUGAAUGUUUCUCCAGAAAGUCGCCAUUUCCACUGUGUAAUUGGAGGAACGUUGCAGUUUGCCUGCAGCUGUUUUGCUAGCCCUCAGGCUGUGCGUGAAACCUUACUCCAGUUAGACAGAGGCCCAGACAAAGAGGCACCACAACAGUUCCCACAGACUGCAACUUGAAGACUGACCUCACUGACACUGAAUGAAGGCUAUUCCAGUCUAACAAAUAUCAGGAUUUAUUUCAAUUUAGGACAUUUGAUGCAAAUUAAUGCUGCUGUAAUAUAGUGGAAAACCACAAGCAUAGAGUUUGAAAGCAGAAUACUUGGCCUUUUACUUUGGCUUAACACCUAUUAAAAUGCAACAUUA